RNAcentral lists this ribosomal RNA (3091 nucleotides) under Salmonella enterica subsp. enterica serovar Typhimurium. RNAcentral's name for it is "23S ribosomal RNA". It matches the Rfam family "Bacterial large subunit ribosomal RNA". The record is from RNAcentral. Lineage: Bacteria; Pseudomonadati; Pseudomonadota; Gammaproteobacteria; Enterobacterales; Enterobacteriaceae. RNAcentral also lists the same sequence under 1 other name.
GGUUAAGCGACUAAGCGUACACGGUGGAUGCCCUGGCAGUCAGAGGCGAUGAAGGGCGUGCUAAUCUGCGAUAAGCGCCGGUAAGGUGAUAUGAACCGUUAUAACCGGCGAUACCCGAAUGGGGAAACCCAGUGUGACUCGUCACACUAUCAUUAACUGAAUCCAUAGGUUAAUGAGGCGAACCGGGGGAACUGAAACAUCUAAGUACCCCGAGGAAAAGAAAUCAACCGAGAUUCCCCCAGUAGCGGCGAGCGAACGGGGAGGAGCCCAGAGCCUGAAUCAGCAUGUGUGUUAGUGGAAGCGUCUGGAAAGGCGCGCGAUACAGGGUGACAGCCCCGUACACAAAAGCGCAUGUGCUGUGAGCUCGAUGAGUAGGGCGGGACACGUGGUAUCCUGUCUGAAUAUGGGGGGACCAUCCUCCAAGGCUAAAUACUCCUGACUGACCGAUAGUGAACCAGUACCGUGAGGGAAAGGCGAAAAGAACCCCGGCGAGGGGAGUGAAAAAGAACCUGAAACCGUGUACGUACAAGCAGUGGGAGCCCCACCACUAAGCCAGUGGUGAACUCCACAUCCGCAUCCUUUGCUGAGGAUACGGUUAACGGAGCGAAAGCGACGUUCAACCGCAAAACAAGCAGAGGGGGCUUAGUGGUGGGGUGACUGCGUACCUUUUGUAUAAUGGGUCAGCGACUUAUAUUCUGUAGCAAGGUUAACCGUAUAGGGGAGCCGGAGGGAAACCGAGUCUUAAUUGGGCGUUAAGUUGCAGGGUAUAGACCCGAAACCCGGUGAUCUAGCCAUGGGCAGGUUGAAGGUUGGGUAACACUAACUGGAGGACCGAACCGACUAAUGUUGAAAAAUUAGCGGAUGACCUGUGGCUGGGGGUGAAAGGCCAAUCAAACCGGGAGAUAGCUGGUUCUCCCCGAAAGCUAUUUAGGUAGCGCCUCGUGAAUUCAUCUCCGGGGGUAGAGCACUGUUUCGGCUAGGGGGCCAUCCCGGCUUACCAACCCGAUGCAAACUGCGAAUACCGGAGAAUGUUAUCACGGGAGACACACGGCGGGUGCUAACGUCCGUCGUGAAGAGGGAAACAACCCAGACCGCCAGCUAAGGUCCCAAAGUCAUGGUUAAGUGGGAAACGAUGUGGGAAGGCCCAGACAGCCAGGAUGUUGGCUUAGAAGCAGCCAUCAUUUAAAGAAAGCGUAAUAGCUCACUGGUCGAGUCGGCCUGCGCGGAAGAUGUAACGGGGCUAAACCAUGCACCGAAGCUGCGGCAGCGAACGUAUCACCCAAGACAACUUUACGGAGUUGACGAUUGACGGAGCGAAGCGACGUCAAAGCGUUCAUUAAAGUCGAGUUGGCUUAGGGAUACGUUCGUUGGGUAGGGGAGCGUUCUGUAAGCCUGUGAAGGUGUGUCGUGAGGCAUGCUGGAGGUAUCAGAAGUGCGAAUGCUGACAUAAGUAACGAUAAAGCGGGUGAAAAGCCCGCUCGCCGGAAGACCAAGGGUUCCUGUCCAACGUUAAUCGGGGCAGGGUGAGUCGACCCCUAAGGCGAGGCCGAAAGGCGUAGUCGAUGGGAAACGGGUUAAUAUUCCCGUACUUGGUGUUACUGCGAAGGGGGGACGGAGAAGGCUAUGUUGGCCGGGCGACGGUUGUCCCGGUUUAAGCGUGUAGGUGUGUGUUCCAGGUAAAUCCGGUUCACUUUAACACUGAGGCGUGACGACGAGGCACUACGGUGCUGAAGCAACAAAUGCCCUGCUUCCAGGAAAAGCCUCUAAGCAUCAGGUAACACGAAAUCGUACCCCAAACCGACACAGGUGGUCAGGUAGAGAAUACCAAGGCGCUUGAGAGAACUCGGGUGAAGGAACUAGGCAAAAUGGUGCCGUAACUUCGGGAGAAGGCACGCUGACACGUAGGUGAAGUGAUUUACUCAUGGAGCUGAAGUCAGUCGAAGAUACCAGCUGGCUGCAACUGUUUAUUAAAAACACAGCACUGUGCAAACACGAAAGUGGACGUAUACGGUGUGACGCCUGCCCGGUGCCGGAAGGUUAAUUGAUGGGGUCAGCGUAAGCGAAGCUCCUGAUCGAAGCCCCGGUAAACGGCGGCCGUAACUAUAACGGUCCUAAGGUAGCGAAAUUCCUUGUCGGGUAAGUUCCGACCUGCACGAAUGGCGUAAUGAUGGCCAGGCUGUCUCCACCCGAGACUCAGUGAAAUUGAACUCGCUGUGAAGAUGCAGUGUACCCGCGGCAAGACGGAAAGACCCCGUGAACCUUUACUAUAGCUUGACACUGAACAUUGAGCCUUGAUGUGUAGGAUAGGUGGGAGGCUUUGAAGUGUGGACGCCAGUCUGCAUGGAGCCGACCUUGAAAUACCACCCUUUAAUGUUUGAUGUUCUAACGUGGACCCGUAAUCCGGGUUGCGGACAGUGUCUGGUGGGUAGUUUGACUGGGGCGGUCUCCUCCUAAAGAGUAACGGAGGAGCACGAAGGUUGGCUAAUCCUGGUCGGACAUCAGGAGGUUAGUGCAAUGGCAUAAGCCAGCUUGACUGCGAGCGUGACGGCGCGAGCAGGUGCGAAAGCAGGUCAUAGUGAUCCGGUGGUUCUGAAUGGAAGGGCCAUCGCUCAACGGAUAAAAGGUACUCCGGGGAUAACAGGCUGAUACCGCCCAAGAGUUCAUAUCGACGGCGGUGUUUGGCACCUCGAUGUCGGCUCAUCACAUCCUGGGGCUGAAGUAGGUCCCAAGGGUAUGGCUGUUCGCCAUUUAAAGUGGUACGCGAGCUGGGUUUAGAACGUCGUGAGACAGUUCGGUCCCUAUCUGCCGUGGGCGCUGGAGAACUGAGGGGGGCUGCUCCUAGUACGAGAGGACCGGAGUGGACGCAUCACUGGUGUUCGGGUUGUCAUGCCAAUGGCACUGCCCGGUAGCUAAAUGCGGAAGAGAUAAGUGCUGAAAGCAUCUAAGCACGAAACUUGCCCCGAGAUGAGUUCUCCCUGAGACUUAGAGUCUCCUGAAGGAACGUUGAAGACGACGACGUUGAUAGGCCGGGUGUGUAAGCGCAGCGAUGCGUUGAGCUAACCGGUACUAAUGAACCGUGAGGCUUAACCUU